CUCGGUAAAACGAGGUAAGACCCCUUGAAGACGACAAGGUAGAUCGGUCCGGUGUGGAAGCACGGCGACGUGUGGAGCAGACGGAUACGAAUCGGUCGAGGGCUUAUCCUA
This 111-nucleotide ribosomal RNA is filed under the name Acidibacillus sp. RNAcentral's name for it is "partial 23S ribosomal RNA". It matches the Rfam family "Bacterial large subunit ribosomal RNA", at positions 2815 to 2925 of the family's 2925-position model. The record is from RNAcentral. Lineage: Bacteria; Bacillati; Bacillota; Bacilli; Caryophanales; Alicyclobacillaceae.